This 203-nucleotide long non-coding RNA is filed under the name Physcomitrium patens. RNAcentral's name for it is "long non-coding RNA (PPAT_LNC003577)". Lineage: Eukaryota; Viridiplantae; Streptophyta; Bryopsida; Funariales; Funariaceae. The record is from RNAcentral.
UUUGUUAAGGUUAGGAUAUGGUUUAGGAUUUGGUUUAAGAUUUAGGAUUUAGGAUUUGAUUUAGGAUUUGAUUUAGGAUUUAGGGUUUGGAUUAGGAUUUAGGAUUUGAUUUAGGAUUUGGUUAGAGAUUGGUUUAAGGUUUAAGGUUUGAUUAAGGUUUGAUUAAGAUUUGAUUAAUGGAUUUAGGAUUUAUCUAGGAUUUG